RNAcentral lists this ribosomal RNA (251 nucleotides) under uncultured bacterium. Its description in RNAcentral is "partial 16S ribosomal RNA". It matches the Rfam family "Bacterial small subunit ribosomal RNA", at positions 526 to 779 of the family's 1533-position model. The record is from RNAcentral.
CGGAGGAUCCAAGCGUUAUCCGGAAUUACUGGGCGUAAGAGUUGCGUAGGUGGCAUUGUAAGUAAUAGUGAAAGCGUUCGGCUCAACCGGAUAACAUUAUUAAACUGCAAAGCUAGAGGACAAGAGAGGUCACUGGAAUUCCCUGUGUAGGAGUGAAAUCCGUAGAUAUAGGGAGGAACACCGAUGGCGUAGGCAGGUGACUGGCUUGUUCCUGACACUAAGGCACGAAAGCGUGGGUAGCAAACGGGAUU